RNAcentral lists this ribosomal RNA (1362 nucleotides) under Triticum aestivum (bread wheat). RNAcentral describes it as "partial small subunit ribosomal RNA". Lineage: Eukaryota; Viridiplantae; Streptophyta; Magnoliopsida; Poales; Poaceae. The record is from RNAcentral.
AUGCUUGCAUUGCAGAAAUCAAAGCAGUGGAUGACGCUUAGGGCAAAAAAACUGAAGGAAGACAUAUGUAUGUUGUUUAAAUCCAGCAAUGACACAGUGGUAAAAAUGUCCUUAGUGGAUAAACUACAACAUCUCGGAAUCGAUCACCUCUUUGAAGACCAGAUUGACACCGCUAUGUGGCAAAUCCUGAAGAGUGAAUUUAGUAACUACAACCUCUAUGAAGUUGCCCUUCGGUUUCGCUUGCUGAGGGAACAUGGAUACUGUGUAUCUCCAGAUGUUUUCAAUCGAUUCAAAAGUGAAGAUGGAAGCUUCAUUAAUGGUAAUGGUAGUUUAAAGACCCCACUUGCUCAACAAGUCCAACGUGCCCUUCAGAUACCAAUGCCAAGGACAAAUAAGAGGGUGGAAAUGCUACAUUAUAUCCUAGAGUACGAACAAGAGGAGCAUAACCCAAUCCUACUGGAGCUUGCCAAAUUGGAUUUCAACCUUCAGCAAAAUGUCCACUUGAAGGAGCUCAAAGCUAUUAUCAGGUGGUGGAAGCAUUUUUUAGGAUAUAUCGAGCUAAGCUUUAUCCGCGAUCGUGUGGUGGAGGGUUAUACAUGGGCCUCUGUGUUGUACUAUGACACAAAAUUUGAGCUCACUCGAAGUAUGAUCACAAAGAUGAUUGUACUAAUUACCACAUUAGAUGACAUAUAUGAUAACCAUGCCACCCUAGAGGACAGUUGGAAGCUACAUGAAGCAAUACAAAGAUGGGAUAAGAGCGCCGCUUUUCUCCUGCCGGAGUACUUGAAGAAGUUCUAUAUGGAGAUGCUGAGGACAUUUGAGAAUAUUGAGGCUGAAAUGCUAGCCAAUACGAACUACGAUAUAGCACACCUGAAAAAAGCGGUCCAAAAUAACGUGACUGGUUACCUACAAGAAGCGAAAUGGUCACACAGGAACCACAAGCCAAGCUUUGUAGAUCAGGUCAAGUUGACUAGUCUGAACAUUGGUGUGCCAACGAUAUGUGUGAGUAUGAUGGCUGGAAUGAGUGAUGCAAUGAUGAAGACAGCGCUCAAAUGGGCUGCUAGUGUCCCGGAUGUCGUCAUAUCAGUUGGGAAGAUUUCCCGUUUCAUGAAUGAUAUCGGUGCAUUUGAGCGUCGAAAAUGCAAGGGGGAUAUGGCAAGCACUGUAGAGUGUUACAUCAAUGAGUACAACGUGACAAGUGAAGUGGCCAUUACCAAAACUGUUGCCCUGAUAGAACAUGAAUGGAAGACCCUGAACCAAGCUCGCUUUCAAAAUCAUCUCCCUGCAUUGCAGCAGUUCAUUAGCUUAGCGAUUAGCACAACAUUUUUUUAUGGUAACAGAAAUGAUAUAUACACUGGGUGA